This 1449-nucleotide ribosomal RNA is filed under the name uncultured organism. RNAcentral describes it as "SSU rRNA". It matches the Rfam family "Bacterial small subunit ribosomal RNA". The record is from RNAcentral.
AGCGACAGGCUUAACACAUGCAAGUCGAGGGGCAGCGUGAUUUGUAGCAAUACAGAUUGAUGGCGACCGGCGCACGGGUGAGUAACGCGUAUGCAACUUACCUAUCAGAGGGGGAUAGCCCGGCGAAAGUCGGAUUAAUACCCCAUAAAACAGGGGUCCCGCAUGGGAAUAUUUGUUAAAGAUUCAUCGCUGAUAGAUAGGCAUGCGUUCCAUUAGGCAGUUGGCGGGGUAACGGCCCACCAAACCGACGAUGGAUAGGGGUUCUGAGAGGAAGGUCCCCCACAUUGGUACUGAGACACGGACCAAACUCCUACGGGAGGCAGCAGUGAGGAAUAUUGGUCAAUGGCCGAGAGGCUGAACCAGCCAAGUCGCGUGAAGGAAGAAGGAUCUAUGGUUUGUAAACUUCUUUUAUAGGGGAAUAAAGUGGAGGACGUGUCCUUUUUUGUAUGUACCCUAUGAAUAAGCAUCGGCUAACUCCGUGCCAGCAGCCGCGGUAAUACGGAGGAUGCGAGCGUUAUCCGGAUUUAUUGGGUUUAAAGGGUGCGUAGGUGGUGAUUUAAGUCAGCGGUGAAAGUUUGUGGCCCAACCAUAAAAUUGCCGUUGAAACUGGGUUACUUGAGUGUGUUUGAGGUAGGCGGAAUGCGUGGUGUAGCGGUGAAAUGCAUAGAUAUCACGCAGAACUCCGAUUGCGAAGGCAGCUUACUAAACCAUAACUGACACUGAAGCACGAAAGCGUGGGGAUCAAACAGGAUUAGAUACCCUGGUAGUCCACGCAGUAAACGAUGAUUACUAGGAGUUUGCGAUACAAUGUAAGCUCUACAGCGAAAGCGUUAAGUAAUCCACCUGGGGAGUACGCCGGCAACGGUGAAACUCAAAGGAAUUGACGGGGGCCCGCACAAGCGGAGGAACAUGUGGUUUAAUUCGAUGAUACGCGAGGAACCUUACCCGGGUUUGAACGUAGUCUGACCGGAGUGGAAACACUCUUUCUAGCAAUAGCAGAUUACGAGGUGCUGCAUGGUUGUCGUCAGCUCGUGCCGUGAGGUGUCGGCUUAAGUGCCAUAACGAGCGCAACCCUUAUCACUAGUUACUAACAGGUGAAGCUGAGGACUCUGGUGAGACUGCCAGCGUAAGCUGUGAGGAAGGUGGGGAUGACGUCAAAUCAGCACGGCCCUUACAUCCGGGGCGACACACGUGUUACAAUGGCAUGGACAAAGGGCAGCUACCUGGUGACAGGAUGCUAAUCUCCAAACCAUGUCUCAGUUCGGAUCGGAGUCUGCAACUCGACUCCGUGAAGCUGGAUUCGCUAGUAAUCGCGCAUCAGCCAUGGCGCGGUGAAUACGUUCCCGGGCCUUGUACACACCGCCCGUCAAGCCAUGGGAGCCGGGGGUACCUGAAGUCCGUAACCGCAAGGAUCGGCCUAGGGUAAAACUGGUGACUGGGGCUAAGUCG